GACGAAGGGGGCUAGCGUUGUUCGGAAUUACUGGGCGUAAAGCGCGUGUAGGCGGUUAUCCAAGGCAGGUGUGAAAGCCUUGAGCUCAACUCAAGAAAUGCACUUGGUACUGGGUGACUAGAGGACCGGAGAGGAUAGUGGAAUUCCCAGUGUAGUGGUGAAAUACGUAGAGAUUGGGAAGAACACCAGUGGCGAAGGCGGCUAUCUGGACGGUUUCUGACGCUAAGACGCGAAAGCGUGGGGAGCGAACAGG
This 253-nucleotide ribosomal RNA is filed under the name uncultured bacterium. RNAcentral describes it as "partial 16S ribosomal RNA". It matches the Rfam family "Bacterial small subunit ribosomal RNA", at positions 524 to 776 of the family's 1533-position model. The record is from RNAcentral.